This 449-nucleotide ribosomal RNA is filed under the name uncultured bacterium. RNAcentral describes it as "partial 16S ribosomal RNA". It matches the Rfam family "Bacterial small subunit ribosomal RNA", at positions 29 to 523 of the family's 1533-position model. The record is from RNAcentral.
AACGAACGCUGGCGGCAUGCCUAACACAUGCAAGUCGAACGAGAUCUUCGGGUCUAGUGGCGCACGGGUGCGUAACGCGUGGGAAUCUGCCCUUUGGUUCGGAAUAACAGUUGGAAACGACUGCUAAUACCGGAUGAUGACGAAAGUCCAAAGAUUUAUCGCCAGAGGAUGAGCCCGCGUAGGAUUAGCUAGUUGGUGUGGUAAAGGCGCACCAAGGCGACGAUCCUUAGCUGGUCUGGGAGGAUGAUCGGACACACUGGGACUGAGACACGGCCCCGACUCCUACGGGAGGCAGCAGUGGAGAAUAUUGGACAAUGGGCGAAAGCCUAAUCCAGCAAUGCCGCGUGAGUGAUGAAGGCCUUAGGGUUGUAAAGCUCUCUUACCCGGGAUGAUAAUGACAGUACCGGGAGAAUAAGCUCCGGCUAACUCCGUGCCAGCAGCCGCCGUAA